This 252-nucleotide ribosomal RNA is filed under the name uncultured bacterium. RNAcentral's name for it is "partial 16S ribosomal RNA". It matches the Rfam family "Bacterial small subunit ribosomal RNA", at positions 524 to 776 of the family's 1533-position model. The record is from RNAcentral.
UACGUAGGUCCCGAGCGUUGUCCGGAUUUAUUGGGCGUAAAGCGAGCGCAGGUGGUUUAUUAAGUCUGGUGUGAAAGGCAGUGGCUCAACCAUUGUAUGCAUUGGAAACUGGUAGACUUGAGUGCAGGAGAGGAGAGUGGAAUUCCAGGUGUAGCGGUGAAAUGCGUAGAUAUAUGGAGGAACACCGGUGGCGAAAGCGGCUCUCUGGCCUGUAACUGACACUGAGGCUCGAAAGCGUGGGGAGCAAACAGG